GACGGAGGAUGCAAGUGUUAUCCGGAAUCACUGGGCGUAAAGCGUCUGUAGGUGGUUUAAAAAGUCCGCUGUUAAAUAUUGAAGCUUAACUUCAAAAAUGCCGUGGAAACUUUUAGACUAGAGUAUGGUAGGGGUAGAGGGAAUUUCCAAUGGAGCGGUGAAAUGCGUAGAUAUUGGAAAGACCACCGAUGGCGAAGGCACUCUACUGGGCCAUUACUGACACUCAGAGACGAAAGCUAGGGGAGCAAAUGGG
RNAcentral lists this ribosomal RNA (253 nucleotides) under uncultured bacterium. RNAcentral's name for it is "partial 16S ribosomal RNA". It matches the Rfam family "Bacterial small subunit ribosomal RNA", at positions 524 to 776 of the family's 1533-position model. The record is from RNAcentral.